AGAUUGUACGCAAGUUAUAAAGUGAGCAAAGCCUCUCUAUAAUAGCGAAACGAAAGUGCUUUCGGCCUAGUGUCGAUCGUGCAAAAGAGGGAAGACAGGCGAUCACCAUAUCGUCGAGCACUCCCGGGGUGUCCGUUGCUCAUUGUGAGUGCGGGCAUACCUUCUAGCGUACAUAUUAGAACCCGAAAGAUGGUGAACUAUGCUUGGCGAGGGUGAAGUCAGGGGAAACUCUGAUGGAAGCUCGAAGCGAUUCUAACGUGCAAAUUGAUCGCACAAGCUGAGCAUAGGGGCGAAAGACCAAUCGAACCAUCUAGUAGCUGGUUCCUUCCGAAGUUUCCCGCAGGAUAGCUAACAUUAUGUGCAAGAAAAGUCUCGCGCUGUAAGGCGACUGACUAGAGUAAUUGGAAUUGAAACGAUUUGAAACUAUUCUCAAACUGUAAAUGAGCGAGUCCGCACUAGCUUAAAUGUGUAGUCGGAAUGUAUUAUAUAUGU
Molecule: ribosomal RNA, 492 nt
Filed under: Charhyphus picipennis
Lineage: Eukaryota; Metazoa; Arthropoda; Insecta; Coleoptera; Staphylinidae
Description: eukaryotic LSU rRNA
Rfam family: Eukaryotic large subunit ribosomal RNA
Source: RNAcentral